GGUAAGCAGGAGCUUCUAUCUUAUGGGUUCUCAGUACUGUUGAUCAGCUGAUUGAUGAUGGUUACACCUCAGCAAGAUCCAUGGCAAAAGCUGUUAAUUCUGGAAGUGAUCAAAGAGAAUUAAGAAGCAGGUUCCAAGUGCUAAGCCAUUAGUUUUAACAAACCUGCAUCUUGAAUACCGAUGAAGGAAGGAUAUAUACAAGAAAAAGAAAAUCUGUGAAUGUUUGGAAAACCAAGCAA
Chiloscyllium plagiosum (whitespotted bambooshark) is the source of this 239-nucleotide non-coding RNA. The record is from RefSeq and is a predicted model, not a curated record. Lineage: Eukaryota; Metazoa; Chordata; Chondrichthyes; Orectolobiformes; Hemiscylliidae.